RNAcentral lists this transfer RNA (88 nucleotides) under Salinisphaera orenii subsp. orenii MK-B5. RNAcentral's name for it is "Salinisphaera sp. MKB5 tRNA". It matches the Rfam family "tRNA". Rfam says of the family: Transfer RNA (tRNA) molecules are approximately 80 nucleotides in length. Their secondary structure includes four short double-helical elements and three loops (D, anti-codon, and T loops). The record is from Rfam by way of RNAcentral. RNAcentral also lists the same sequence under 2 other names. Lineage: Bacteria; Pseudomonadati; Pseudomonadota; Gammaproteobacteria; Salinisphaerales; Salinisphaeraceae.
GGAGAGGUGUCCGAGCGGUCGAAGGAGCACGCCUGGAAAGCGUGUGUGCGGUAACCCCGUACCGAGGGUUCGAAUCCCUCCCUCUCCG